Molecule: small nucleolar RNA, 120 nt
Filed under: Castor canadensis (American beaver)
Lineage: Eukaryota; Metazoa; Chordata; Mammalia; Rodentia; Castoridae
Description: Small nucleolar RNA SNORA51 (ENSCCNG00000030908.1)
Rfam family: Small nucleolar RNA SNORA51
About the family: ACA51 is a member of the H/ACA class of snoRNA that guide the sites of modification of uridines to pseudouridines.
Source: Rfam by way of RNAcentral
GGUCUCCUGAUGUUUACCACAGGCUGUGUUCUUAGAAUGACUGUACAGAAAGAGGAGGCAAAGUACACCUACCCCAUAUACCCUCAGCCCACGCCCUGUAUUGUGAAUGAGGACACAUGG